This 186-nucleotide unclassified non-coding RNA is filed under the name Neutrodiaptomus formosus. Its description in RNAcentral is "partial contains 5.8S rRNA and ITS2". Lineage: Eukaryota; Metazoa; Arthropoda; Copepoda; Calanoida; Diaptomidae. The record is from RNAcentral.
AUCGGAGCUUGCUUGCGAGUUCCGCAUUGGGUCGUCCCGUCGGCUUCGGCUGGCGGGUGGCCUCAAGUUGACUUGUGCAGUGCUCUGCCAAAGACUCUUGGGUCGUAAAAAGCCUGGGUCUGAGCGGGACAAGCCUGCACGGGGAUUUACUCGGAGGCCUUGCGCCUGUGCCGGGUUCCAAUAUAU